This 434-nucleotide ribosomal RNA is filed under the name uncultured Ruminococcus sp. Its description in RNAcentral is "partial 16S ribosomal RNA". It matches the Rfam family "Bacterial small subunit ribosomal RNA", at positions 341 to 792 of the family's 1533-position model. The record is from RNAcentral. Lineage: Bacteria; Bacillati; Bacillota; Clostridia; Eubacteriales; Oscillospiraceae.
ACGGAAGGCAGCAGUGGGGAAUAUUGCACAAUGGGCGCAGGCCUGAUGCAGCGAUGCCGCGUGAGGGAAGAAGGUUUUCGGAUUGUAAACCUCUGUCAUCGGGGACGAUAAUGACUGUACCCGAGAAGGAAGCUCCGGCUAACUACGUGCCAGCAGCCGCGGUAAUACGUAGGGAGCGAGCGUUAUCCGGAAUUACUGGGUGUAAAGGGAGUGUAGGCGGGACUGUAAGUCAGAUGUGAAAUAUACCGGCUCAACUGGUAGACUGCAGUUGAAACUGCGGUUCUUGAGUGAAGUAGAGGUAAGCGGAAUUCCUGGUGUAGCGGUGAAAUGCGUGGAUAUUAGGAGGAACAUCGGUGGCGAAGGCGGCUUACUGGGCUUUAACUGACGCUGAGGCUCGAAAGCGUGGGUAGCAAACAGGAUUAGAUACCCUGGUA